Molecule: ribosomal RNA, 429 nt
Filed under: Chloroflexota bacterium
Lineage: Bacteria; Bacillati; Chloroflexota
Description: Chloroflexi bacterium partial 16S ribosomal RNA
Rfam family: Bacterial small subunit ribosomal RNA
Source: RNAcentral
UGGGGAAUAUUGCACAAUGGGCGCAAGCCUGAUGCAGCCAUGCCGCGUGUAUGAAGAAGGCCUUCGGGUUGUAAAGUACUUUCAGUCGGGAGGAAGGUGUCAAGGUUAAUAACCUUGGCAAUUGACGUUACCGACAGAAGAAGCACCGGCUAACUCCGUGCCAGCAGCCGCGGUAAUACGGAGGGUGCAAGCGUUAAUCGGAAUUACUGGGCGUAAAGCGCACGCAGGCGGUUGAUUGAGUCAGAUGUGAAAUCCCCGGGCUUAACCCGGGAAUUGCAUCUGAUACUGGUCAGCUAGAGUCUUGUAGAGGGGGGUAGAAUUCCAUGUGUAGCGGUGAAAUGCGUAGAGAUGUGGAGGAAUACCGGUGGCGAAGGCGGCCCCCUGGACAAAGACUGACGCUCAGGUGCGGAAGCGUGGGGAGCAAACAGG